CAGGUGGUCAGGUAGAGAAUACCAAGGCGCUUGAGAGAACUCGGGUGAAGGAACUAGGCAAAAUGGUGCCGUAACUUCGGGAGAAGGCACGCUGGUGUGUAGGUGAAGUCCCUGCGGAUGGAGCUGAGACCAGUCGAAGAUACCAGCUGGCUGCAACUGUUUAUUAAAAACACAGCACUGUGCAAACACGAAAGUGGACGUAUACGGUGUGACGCCUGCCCGGUGCCGGAAGGUUAAUUGAUGGGGUUAUCCGUAAGGAGAAGCUCUUGAUCGAAGCCCCGGUAAACGGCGGCCGUAACUAUAACGGUCCUAAGGUAGCGAAAUUCCUUGUCGGGUAAGUUCCGACCUGCACGAAUGGCGUAAUGAUGGCCAGGCUGUCUCCACCCGAGACUCAGUGAAAUUGAACUCGCUGUGAAGAUGCAGUGUACCCGCGGCAAGACGGAAAGACCCCGUGAACCUUUACUAUAGCUUGACACUGAACAUUGAGCCUUGAUGUGUAGGAUAGGUGGGAGGCUUUGAAGCGUGGACGCCAGUCUGCGUGGAGCCAACCUUGAAAUACCACCCUUUAAUGUUUGAUGUUCUAACGUUGGCCCCUGACCGGGGUUGCGGACAGUGUCUGGUGGGUAGUUUGACUGGGGCGGUCUCCUCCCAAAGCGUAACGGAGGAGCACGAAGGUUAGCUAAUCCUGGUCGGACAUCAGGAGGUUAGUGCAAUGGCAUAAGCUAGCUUGACUGCGAGCGUGACGGCGCGAGCAGGUGCGAAAGCAGGUCAUAGUGAUCCGGUGGUUCUGAAUGGAAGGGCCAUCGCUCAACGGAUAAAAGGUACUCCGGGGAUAACAGGCUGAUACCGCCCAAGAGUUCAUAUCGACGGCGGUGUUUGGCACCUCGAUGUCGGCUCAUCACAUCCUGGGGCUGAAGUAGGUCCCAAGGGUAUGGCUGUUCGCCAUUUAAAGUGGUACGCGAGCUGGGUUUAGAACGUCGUGAGACAGUUCGGUCCCUAUCUGCCGUGGGCGCUGGAGAAUUGAGGGGGGCUGCUCCUAGUACGAGAGGACUGGAGUGGACGCAUCACUGGUGUUCGGGUUGUCAUGCCAAUGGCACUGCCCGGUAGCUAAAUGCGGAAGAGAUAAGUGCUGAAAGCAUCUAAGCACGAAACUUGCCCCGAGAUGAGUUCUCCCUGAGACUUUAAGUCUCCUGAAGGAACGUUAAAGACGAUGACGUUGAUAGGCCGGGUGUGUAAGCGCAGCGAUGCGUUGAGCUAACCGGUACUAAUGAACCGUGAGGCUUAACCUU
This 1289-nucleotide ribosomal RNA is filed under the name Klebsiella pneumoniae. RNAcentral describes it as "partial 23S ribosomal RNA". It matches the Rfam family "Bacterial large subunit ribosomal RNA", at positions 1660 to 2925 of the family's 2925-position model. Lineage: Bacteria; Pseudomonadati; Pseudomonadota; Gammaproteobacteria; Enterobacterales; Enterobacteriaceae. The record is from RNAcentral.